Long non-coding RNA from Pipistrellus kuhlii (Kuhl's pipistrelle), 512 nucleotides. RefSeq lists it as uncharacterized. The transcript has 2 exons. The record is from RefSeq and is a predicted model, not a curated record. NCBI's taxonomy places the organism in Eukaryota, Metazoa, Chordata, Mammalia, Chiroptera, Vespertilionidae.
AGGCCAACGCUCUAUCCACUGAGCCAAACCGGUUUGGUGUUCAAGGCUCUUUCCUAUCUCAAAGCUCACCCAGGCUCUGGGCAGAUUGCGCUGCCAGCACUCAUUUGCACAACCCUAACUUUGUGUUCCUGCCAAAACACAGCCUGCCUUUCCAGAUCCCACCCAGCUGCUGGAAUUACACUUAACAAGAAGAGGGUCCAGCAAUACUAACCCCCCAGGGGCAUUGGGCAAUGUCUGGAGACAUUUUUUGGUUGUCACAAUUGGGGGCAGGCAGGGUGCAAUAGGAAUCCAGCAGGUAGAGGGCAGGGAUGCUGCUAAACAUCCCAGGAUGCACAGGACGGCCCUGCAACAAAGAAUCAUCUGGCCAAAGUGCCAAGGUUGAGAAAUCUUGGGGUAGAGGAACAAGUGGCAAACCACUUAAGAAAAAAAUAGAGUGUGAUCUCAGAUCUCACUCCAAAGUCUGCUUCAAAUGGAUUAAAGACUAAAUAUAAUAAUAAAACUCAAUAUGUGAA